RNAcentral lists this ribosomal RNA (500 nucleotides) under uncultured bacterium. RNAcentral's name for it is "bacterial SSU rRNA". It matches the Rfam family "Bacterial small subunit ribosomal RNA", at positions 28 to 507 of the family's 1533-position model. The record is from RNAcentral.
GACGAACGCUGGCGGCGUGCCUAAUACAUGCAAGUCGAGCGGAAUGAUGAAGAAGCUUGCUUCUUCUGAUUUUAGCGGCGGACGGGUGAGUAACACGUGGGCAACCUACCUUGUAGAUUGGGAUAACUCCGGGAAACCGGGGCUAAUACCGAAUAAUCCAUUUUGCUUCAUGGCGAGAUGUUGAAAGACGGUUUCGGCUGUCACUACAAGAUGGGCCCGCGGCGCAUUAGCUAGUUGGUAGGGUAAUGGCCUACCAAGGCGACGAUGCGUAGCCGACCUGAGAGGGUGAUCGGCCACACUGGGACUGGGACACGGCCCAGACUCCUACGGGAGGCAGCAGUAGGGAAUCUUCCACAAUGGACGAAAGUCUGAUGGAGCAACGCCGCGUGAGUGAAGAAGGUUUUCGGAUCGUAAAACUCUGUUGUAAGGGAAGAACACGUACGAGAGUAACUGCUCGUACCUUGACGGUACCUUAUUAGAAAGCCACGGCUAACUACGUG